AGUGAACGCUGGCGGUAGGCCUAACACAUGCAAGUCGAACGGCAGCACAGUAAGAGCUUGCUCUUACGGGUGGCGAGUGGCGGGCGGGUGAGGAAUACAUCGGAAUCUACUUUUUCGUGGAGGAUAACGUAGGGAAACUUACGCUAAUACCGCAUACGACCUACGGGUGAAAGCAGGGGAUCUUCGGACCUUGCGCGGUUGGAUGAGCCGAUGUCGGAUUAGCUAGUUGGCGGGGUAAAGGCCCACCAAGGCGACGAUCCGUAGCUGGUCUGCGAGGAUGAUCAGCCACACUGGAACUGCGACACGGUCCAGACUCCUACGGGAGGCAGCAGUGGGGAAUAUUGGACAAUGGGCGCAAGCCUGAUCCAGCCAUACCGCGUGGGUGAAGAAGGCCUUCGGGUUGUAAAGCCCUUUUGUUGGGAAAGAAAAGCAGCAGGUUAAUACCCCGCUGUUCUGACGGUACCCAAAGAAUAAGCACCGGCUAACUUCGUG
This 492-nucleotide ribosomal RNA is filed under the name uncultured bacterium. RNAcentral's name for it is "partial 16S ribosomal RNA". It matches the Rfam family "Bacterial small subunit ribosomal RNA", at positions 29 to 507 of the family's 1533-position model. The record is from RNAcentral.